This 314-nucleotide small nuclear RNA is filed under the name Otolemur garnettii (small-eared galago). Its description in RNAcentral is "7SK RNA". It matches the Rfam family "7SK RNA". From Rfam's summary of the family: 7SK was discovered as an abundant small nuclear RNA in the mid-70s but a possible function has only recently been suggested. Two independent studies have found that 7SK RNA binds the CDK9/cyclin T complex (known as elongation factor P-TEFb). The record is from Rfam by way of RNAcentral. Lineage: Eukaryota; Metazoa; Chordata; Mammalia; Primates; Galagidae.
GGAUGCAAGGGCGAUAAGCCUGCAUGAUCUGUCUCUCCAUGGAUCGCCAUGGUUGAUUCCGCUGGUGUGGCUGGCGAGGUGGGUGUCCCCUUCCUGCCUCACUGCUUUGUGUGUUUCCUCCUAGAAGCUGCAUGCUUGAUUGAAGAAGACCUUUCCCAAUAGAGGAGAACCAUUCUUUUGGUGAAGGAUAAAUUAGGAGCUACUCUCCCCUGGAGCUGGAACCUCCAAAUAAGCUCUCAAGAAUAUGGUCUUGAGAAGCAAUCAGCUGGAAUCCUGGACUAGUUGCAACUGAGAGGUCCCGGAUGACACUCCUC